UACCGUAGAGUGCGAACGACGGUUGUACCGGAACUUAAGGUUAGGGUCGGUAAAGGGUACGCAGGCGGUAUAGUAAAGUCAAGCGUGAAAGGUGUCGGCUUAACCGACAGACUGCGUUUGAAACUGAUUAUCUUGAGUGUAACAGAGGAGAGUGGAAUUCCUAGUGUAGUGGUGGAAAUACGUAGAUAUUAGGAAGAACACCAGUGGCGAAGGCGACUCGUCUGGGUUAACACUGACGCUGAGGUACGAAAGCUGGGGGAGCAAACGGGAUUAGAUACCCCGGUAGU
Molecule: ribosomal RNA, 287 nt
Filed under: uncultured bacterium
Lineage: Bacteria
Description: partial 16S ribosomal RNA
Rfam family: Bacterial small subunit ribosomal RNA (bases 50-287)
Source: RNAcentral